RNAcentral lists this ribosomal RNA (253 nucleotides) under uncultured bacterium. RNAcentral's name for it is "partial 16S ribosomal RNA". It matches the Rfam family "Bacterial small subunit ribosomal RNA", at positions 524 to 776 of the family's 1533-position model. The record is from RNAcentral.
UACGUAGGGUGCGAGCGUUGUUCGGAUUUAUUGGGCGUAAAGAGCGUGUAGGCGGCCUGGUAGGUCAGCUGUGAAAACUCGAGGCUCAACCUCGAGACGCCGGUUGAAACCAUCAGGCUAGAGUCCGGAAGAGGAGAGUGGAAUUCCCGGUGUAGCGGUGAAAUGCGCAGAUAUCGGGAAGAACACCCGUGGCUAAGGCGGCUCUCUAGUACGGUACUGACGCUGAGACGCGAAAGCGUGGGGAGCGAACAGG